UACGGGGGGAGCAAGCGUUGUUCGGAUUUACUGGGCGUAAAGGGCGCGUAGGCGGCCAGCACAAGUCAGUUGUGAAAUCUCCGAGCUUAACUCGGAACGGUCAACUGAUACUGUGCGGCUAGAGUGCAGAAGGGGCAACUGGAAUUCUUGGUGUAGCGGUGAAAUGACGUAGAUAUCAAGAGGAACACCUGCGGCGAAGGCGGGUGCUGGGCUGACACUGACGCUGAGGCGCGAAAGCUAGGGGGAGCGAACGGG
RNAcentral lists this ribosomal RNA (255 nucleotides) under uncultured bacterium. Its description in RNAcentral is "partial 16S ribosomal RNA". It matches the Rfam family "Bacterial small subunit ribosomal RNA", at positions 524 to 776 of the family's 1533-position model. The record is from RNAcentral.